AUUCACUUUGCCCUGCAUACCAUGGUGCCUGCAUCCAGAGCUCAGAGAUGCAACAGAAGAUGGUGAAAGGCCAGCAGAUAUCAGAAAAGUAGAAAUUUUUUAUAGAACUUCUACUAUCCAUUGGUACGACACGACACGUAUUCAGCACUGCAAGAGCCAGCCCAAGUUGUUUCUGAUGUACCUUCAGACAUCAAAACUGAAAGAUUUUACUUUAAUAACAGAGAGCUUUGGAACCAACUCCUCUCCCUUUGAAUCCAUAACUUGUUCUCACUACACAUGAAGGUUUUCAGUGUAAGUAUAUGAGAUUAUUCAUUUCCCUACAUUCUCCAGCCCCAUUAAAUCUCAACUUUCAUCAUGAUUUUCAAAGACACUUCAAGUCCUUUUCAACAGUUUUGAGAAACUUGCUGGGAGGGAAUGCAUUUCCAAACUAUCUGUUUUCUCAUGAAAACUGAGUUUUGCCUGGAUGCCAGGGUCAGCAGACGUUUUAUAAAUAGGUUUGGACAGAUGACAGGAAAUGAUGUAAGGUAUCAGUCCACUCCACAGAGGGCAACUGCCUGUAGUGCCCAGGAAAGAGGGACUCACACCACUGACUGCUACACAGGAAAAACAACAACAAAAACAACAACAAAAAACCAAAACAACUGCAGAGAAGCAUCACUUACUGCAGAUGGUUUCAGGUUUGUGAAGCACAAGAUCUCUGGCCUCCAUAUUACAGCUCAAGCAAAAAAAAAAAAGUAUUUGCUUGCAACUAUACUACAGUGAAAACCAGGACAAUUAAAUUUUCCUUUGAAGAGGAAAAAUUGAGCAGAAUUGUCUAAACUCGCUUUGUCUUUUACUAAUAAGGAGGAGCUUUCUGCUCCUGACAUGCUCUAAAUGCCAGCAGGCAUUGGAGAUUCUCCAGACUGUGACUGGUGCCAAACACCGGGAUCAUCUUCUUACCCUGGCAUUUACCAUCAGCUUCAGCAAAGUCUUUUCCAAUUCAAACUGCUUUAAAUGGGCUCCAAUUAUAGCUGCUUAGAAGUUAAUCUUUAUCUAUUCAUUUGAUCCCAAUAACUAUCUGCUCCUCUUCGCAAUAUCAGUACAGAUUGGAGAAGCAAUUCACUGUCUCAUUUUGUUUCUGUCAGCCUUCACAAAGGUAAAACUCAACCACUUACUCCCAAAUAAAUGCUUUUGUUGCAAGAGGGGCAAAGUCCACAGCAGAAUUCUCAACAGGUUGAACUUCAGCACGUUAACUGCAGCCUUCCCCCAAGGUGCAGCUCUUCCUAACACCAGCAAGCCCUGCUCACCCCAUUCCUCACCACGCUUUCACACCACCACUGACUGACAGCGCUCUGUGUAACAGCAGGCUACAAGCGCUAGUGAGACACAGUGACCUACCCAGCAGAUGUGCCCGCUGUCUCUCAGUGCUGAGAGAAGCCCGGCUGCAGCGUGCAGAAGAGCUGUCUUUGGAGGAGCACCAAGCACUCACGUGCAUUUGCACACAGCUCCUCUGCCCAGCCACAUCCCCACAACCACCUGCAGUGCCAUCUCAUGCAGAGUCAGCCCCAGGCACACUAGCAUGAGGCCUCUGCUGGUGUUUUUCUUUACCAAAGAGUUAACAUUUGAUCCUUCUGGUGGCCCUGCUUUUAGAAGUGGAGAGUUUCUGCUCAUCGUUUGUUACUUAUCUGUUCCCAUGACAGACAAAACAGCCUAGAAGCGCUCCCUACCUAUGGCAGGAAUACGUAAUACACGACACGUUUCUUAAGCUUCUGUACCGAGUAACUAACUUUACCAAUGCUGUGAAUUUAUAAAACUCUACAGAACUUGAUUUUUUUGCACCGAAAGCAUUGCAUCUGACUGAAUUUUUGUUAUUUUCGAGAUAUACAGUUAUUAUCUCUAUCAGGCAGUAUUGAAACAGAAACGUCCCAAACCUUUCCUGUUAAAGUCUGUGCAAACAGAAACAGAAUCCAUCUGCCUAUAUGUAAAUUCCAGAAAUUAAAGCAAAUCCAGUCGUUAGUGGUGUUCACACAUGGUGUGUGUGCAUGCGAGAAAGAGUCUGAGAGGAUACAGGAGAAGGUGGGCAAGGCUGUCAGCCUCUGUAGAGCUCAAUGAGAAUACCAGGGCAUGAGAUCCAACUGUCCUUAAUGAUCACCAGCAUAAAAAACAGACAAAAAAGCCCUAGAACUGUAAACCUGGACCUCAUUCUUUUCUGCACUUGUAAAGAAAACCUAUAUACACUAUUUGCUUCCUGACCCUACAAGAAAAAGUGUCUACAUGCCUAUUCAUUGAACAGGCUGCUCCACAUAGACAUGUUCUUCUUGUACAGAGCUAAUGCAGACUGCUUCACAGAAAUAUCUCCACAGGACUUUCCAGUGCUGAGAAAUCACUGAGAAACAGCCCAAUCAUAUAACGUACAAUCAUGUUUGGUACAGAGCUGUUAGAACAAAAACUUAUGAGACACCACAUGCACCUAAAGCUGGAUUUUGUGGCAGGGGGGAAAGAUAUUCUGCCCUCAUUCUUUCUGUUUAAUGAAACAUCGGAGAAGCAUUUAAGGCUCAGCUAAAAUCAAUUACUGAUAAGGCUAUUUUAAUAAACAGAAAUAUUGCUAACCCUUAUCUCAAAUUUCUUCUUAUUGUUUAAUCUGGACACUCCCAAAACAAAGGCAUCUGAGAUCAGCCGAAGAAGGAGAGUUUCAACCUUUGGAUCAGCUCUAAUUGCAAUACUUCAUUCUCAUGAUUGCUGCAAUUCAAUAGACCUUGAUGUCAUAAUAGAAAUUACAUGGCUGCUCUUGCUGUCAUCCAGGGCAAUGUAACUGAGCACAUAUGGACACUGUCUAAUGUUCCUGGCAUCUCACAGUGCCACGAGCCAGGUGAAAGCCCAGUCCCUUUUCCCUUGCACCCAUUAUAACAGAAGACAGGUGAACAAGUCCAUUCAUUCUUUUUCAGCUGCAAGAAAAUAUUUGUGACAAGGCCAGGCUACUCAAUGUGACAUUACACUUGGUCACCCAAAGCAAUGAAGUAUAAGGCUUCAGCCACUGAACAGGGGAAAGACUCUUCCUGGUAGUCUGUCUUGAAUGAACAGUCCAGAGGGAUGGACUGCAGCCUACAAACCCCUCAUCUUUUCCUUGUUAUUAAGUUCUCCAAAACAGAUAGCCUCUCUAAGCUUUAAAUUGUCUCAGAAAAGACAUACCCUUUAUGCCAAGGAUGGGUGCAAGUCUCACCCCUUGCCACCAGAGUCCAACCAUCCUGACAGGUCUGGACAAAGAGUAUCCUUUGUGCUGCUCCAAAAUCCUUCUUCAAGGGCAACACCAAGGAAGAGCUGACCCUCAGGUUGGCCUGUUACACACACACUGUCUUCAAAAUGCAGUGCCAUAUUCACUAAAAUGAAAUUGCUGUUUUCUGCCCCAGCCCAGCAAAGGUUUCAGAAUGUCAGCUAUUUAUUUUUUCCUGUCAGACUACCCAGGCUGGUAUUUCCACAGCUGCAUGGACUGUCUAAAUGCUUGAGAAAAGUGAGAUUAUAAUGGUCUGUGAUAAUACUCCUGUUUCAAUAAUUAAGGCAAUUCAUUUACUUGGAGAAAAAAUGAUUCAAGGACUGUAUGUACAAUCUGCGUUCAAAGUACUACCCUGAACCCAGUGCUUAUCAUCCUUGGUCCAAUGAUACUUGUUAGUAAACAAGACAGAUGUAAUCAUUGCUAGGAGUAAUAGUAAAUCAGUGGCAAGGCUUGAACAGGCCAUUGUCAAGUUGGAAAACUUCAGCCAAGCACAUGCAGUAACUGCUGAAAUCAAAUGAAAAAGCAGAGCAGUAAUUGAAACUUUUGAACCUUUUUACACAGAGGAGCAAGAAAAUUUAUCUUCCUGAUUGCUCUAACGUUUCAGAUAGCAGGAGAACAUGGGAAUAUGGCCUUAAUGUCAGCUAGUAAACUUCUGUGACCUUUCAAGGGAGCUAUAUCUGCCAUGACGAUCGUGGUAAUCAGAACAAGCUCUAUCUGCUCUGACACAGGUUGGCUGCAUGAGCAGAUACCUCUUUUUCUCUCCACAAGUGCUCAGCGCUUUGCUUCAUUCAUUGUACAAGACAGACAGUGCUCACCUGAUUAGCAGUAAUUGGAUACCAGGAAAAAUAAAAUCCAUGUACUGCCCUAUGUCUUAUUCAUCACGUCCUGCCCUGGUCUGAGGACAGAAUCACAGGCAAUUUUUUCACUUUACAGGGCUUAAGGGUUCUGCAAAUAUCCAUUAAUUUUAUUUCUCCAAUCUGCAAAGCUACCAGGAUAUCAUCAUUUUCACUAUUUUGAACAGAGUCACAAAGAUCAAUGUCACAGUAACCGUUAAUAGCAGCCAAUUUGAAAUUCCUAGAACUUUCGAAGCAAUCGCUACUUUAUUCUACCGUUCAGGUUUUCAAAGUGAUUGGUACUUCUUUCACCAACUGCAGACCCACAACGUUCUGAAUUUUGAGCAUUUGCAGAUAAUUCGAGGCUUUGUCCAGGUUGGACUUCCCCCAGCACCAGAACAUCCCCAUGUGGCUGUGUUUGCACACCCUCCACACCAGCCUCUCCACCCCCUUUCAGCUGCUCCACUGAUUUCCCAUUCAAUUCCCAGUUGCUAUUUGCUUUUCAAAUUCAAGUAAGAUUUGUUACGUUUUUUACAAAGUUUUCUCUCCAACCUAUUCCUUAAAAAUUCCCAACUCAUUCAGUACUCAUUUCUUCUGCAUUUGAGCCAAGCAGCUGCUUCCAGCUUCUUACCCGCAGGAGCCUUUGAAAGCAGCACAUGUGAGGAAUGGUCCACUUACAUCAUAUUAAGGUGCCCCAACCCAACAAAACCUGCAGCAGCCCACAGAUACAGUCACAGGAGAAUUCCUAUUUAGAAGUUUUUUCAGCUGGAACACACCCAGUACUGACAGACUGCUUGGGGAAUUUGUCUGCUACCACAUCUAUCCAGCCUACCAAACCUGAGGUCUCCAGUUCAUAUACAUUAAGAGAUUUUCCACAAGGAUAAAACACAGCUUUGAUUCCCAAUUUCAAGAAUGUCCUCCUGUUCUGGAACAGGCAAGGGACUUCUAAAGACUUUGUUCACCUGCUUUAAAAGUAGGGCAAAAUCGAUGCUUUCCUCCAGCUCAGUUCUUGUUAAAUGGCAAAGCAGUUGAGCUAAAUAUUCCAGCAAAGUUCAGAUUCGGUUGCGUACCUGGCACAAAACCUUUCUAUCCAAAGACUUACUUAACAGUCAGUCAAGUUGCAUCUAUCCAAAAAGAGGCAUGUACUCCCCCAGACUGUGGCAAUGCAGGAGCUCCACAGCCUCACCAGAGCCACGCUGUGCUUUGCCAUGCCACUGCCCUAAAGCUGCUCCCCAUCACUUCUCCCUGUGGCAAAGGAACAGACACACAGCUGCUUCUCCGUACCCAGACCCCUAUCAGGCUGCACUGCACUUCUAGGCAGCCUUUUCCUGACAUGCCCUGGGAGCUUGAAAGCCACUAGUCAUGCUGAGAGUCAGUAUGAGGGCCUUCUCACAUGAGAACAUAUAAGAGCUGAAAAAGAGAGGAUCUGUGUUUCUUUGACCAAAGGAGCACUGGCGGUGCGAAGGUGUGGGGGCACAGAGAGGCUGCGCGCUGCUGCUGGGGGUGUGGAGGGCUCUAUUCGAUACGCCCUACGAUUCCCUGUUCCACAAAAAUAUUCCAUGAUUCUAUGAACUAAUCUCCAUCGUCAGCUUCUCCAUAACCUCAGCUUUUGGCUGGUUGGAGGGACUGUGCUCAGGGGAUAGGAAGAGAUAGCAAUAAGGCAGCGUUAGCUUGGCUUUCAGGUGGUGACAGCGGCUGUAACUUGUUAUUAUCUCCACAUGACAAGCACUCCAAGACACCCCCACACCAAUCCUAUUAUGAAAAGCUAGAUUUCACAAAGCUGUUUUCCAACAUGUCAUACCCAGGUUUUGUGGCUUCCCCUGACAGUUUCACAAAGACAGGUCACAGCCGAGGAGCACAAGCCGGGGCCUGGCCUGGCCCACAGGCCCUUCCCACAGCCCCGCUCUCUGGCUUUCAUGGCGGCUGUUCCACCUGUCUGUCAUUCAGCAGCAGGUUGGCUCCUGGGGUCUUUACUGAGUGAGGGACAUGAGCAGGAGAUCCCAAAAUGAGACCUGUCCCUCCUGCUCCCCCUGCUCACAUGAGCCACCCUCCGUCACCCCGCAGGGCCUCGCUCGGUGCUGCCGGCAUCACCUGAAGAAAGCACGCAAGUUGCUUGUGAUCCUUCAGCAAAAUGCUCACAGUUACGGCAAGCAGAAGCCUAGGAGAUACAUCCCCAAAUUCACCCUUCUGUUCUUUAAAACUAGUGUUUAUUUGUGUUGCAGGUGAUGGCAGCCCCCAGUCUACCCUCACUCAUGUUUUCCCACGUGCCGAGAUGAAGCUUUGACACUCCUCUCCCUCUGCAGAGAGAGCACAGCGUUUACAUUUACAGGAACGGAGCUGUGCUUACAUAACGCUUCAGACAAUGCCAAGUCGAAUGACUGACAGAGGAAAAUCUUCUGUUAAAAAUAUAUUUUUCGUCUUUCCCAGA
Molecule: long non-coding RNA, 6511 nt
Organism: Gallus gallus (chicken)
Lineage: Eukaryota; Metazoa; Chordata; Aves; Galliformes; Phasianidae
Exons: 2
Source: RefSeq, a predicted model, not a curated record